This 484-nucleotide ribosomal RNA is filed under the name uncultured bacterium. RNAcentral describes it as "partial 16S ribosomal RNA". It matches the Rfam family "Bacterial small subunit ribosomal RNA", at positions 29 to 507 of the family's 1533-position model. The record is from RNAcentral.
AUUGAACGCUGGCGGCAUGCUUUACACAUGCAAGUCGAACGGCAGCGCGGGCUUCGGCCUGGCGGCGAGUGGCGAACGGGUGAGUAAUACAUCGGAACGUGCCCAGUAGUGGGGGAUAGCUCGGCGAAAGCCGGAUUAAUACCGCAUACGACCUGAGGGUGAAAGCGGGGGAUCUUCGGACCUCGCGCUCUUGGAGCGGCCGAUGGCAGAUUAGCUAGUUGGUGGGGUAAAGGCCUACCAAGGCGACGAUCUGUAGCUGGUCUGAGAGGACGACCAGCCACACUGGGACUGAGACACGGCCCAGACUCCUACGGGAGGCAGCAGUGGGGAAUGUUGGACAAUGGGCGAAAGCCUGAUCCAGCAAUGCCGCGUGUGUGAUGAAGGCCUUCGGGUUGUAAAGAACUUUUGGCGGGAACGAAAAGGACUGUGCCAAUACCACGGUUCGAUGACGGUACCCGCAGAAUAAGCACCGGCUAACUACGUG